RNAcentral lists this ribosomal RNA (230 nucleotides) under uncultured bacterium. Its description in RNAcentral is "partial 16S ribosomal RNA". It matches the Rfam family "Bacterial small subunit ribosomal RNA", at positions 562 to 791 of the family's 1533-position model. The record is from RNAcentral.
AAAGCGUGCGCAGGCGGUUUUGUAAGUUUGUCGUGAAAUCCCCGGGCUCAACCUGGGAAUGGCGAUGAAGACUGCAAGGCUAGAAUCUGGCAGAGGGGGGUAGAAUUCCACGUGUAGCAGUGAAAUGCGUAGAGAUGUGGAGGAACACCGAUGGCGAAGGCAGCCCCCUGGGUCAAGAUUGACGCUCAUGCACGAAAGCGUGGGGAGCAAACAGGAUUAGAUACCCUUGU